Molecule: long non-coding RNA, 344 nt
Organism: Engraulis encrasicolus (European anchovy)
Lineage: Eukaryota; Metazoa; Chordata; Actinopteri; Clupeiformes; Engraulidae
Exons: 3
Source: RefSeq, a predicted model, not a curated record
GUCAUGAAUAGGAAAGAGUUGUGUAUAUCCCAUUGGCAUACGUGGGCAAGGGGCGGGGUCUAUUUUCCGUGUCAUGGCUCCUCCCUGUAGACUUCAAGAAGUUCCAUAUCCGGAAGUGGGCUCCGUAGACUUUCGUUUGACUGUCGACACCUUUCUCGGGACUUUGGUUCGGCAUACACUGCUGGCUGUACCUAUUGUUGUCAUUACUACCAUGUGGGACACAGUAAGAUGCGUAAGAUGCCUUGUGAAUCUAAGGAGGCUGCCGUGGCUGGAGGAUGCUGUCGAAGGUGUAGGAGACUGCCGUGGCUGGAGGAGGCUGCCGAAGGUGGAGGAGGCUGCCGAAG